RNAcentral lists this ribosomal RNA (468 nucleotides) under uncultured bacterium. Its description in RNAcentral is "partial 16S ribosomal RNA". It matches the Rfam family "Bacterial small subunit ribosomal RNA", at positions 28 to 507 of the family's 1533-position model. The record is from RNAcentral.
GACGAACGCUGGCGGCGUGCUUAACACAUGCAAGUCGAACGGAAAGGCCCUGCUUUUGUGGGGUGCUCGAGUGGCGAACGGGUGAGUAACACGUGAGUAACCUGCCCUUGACUUUGGGAUAACUUCAGGAAACUGGGGCUAAUACCGGAUAGGAGCGCCUGCUGCAUGGUGGGGGUUGGAAAGUUUCGGCGGUUGGGGAUGGACUCGCGGCUUAUCAGCUUGUUGGUGGGGUAGUGGCUUACCCAGGCUUUGACGGGUAGCCGGCCUGAGAGGGUGACCGGCCACAUUGGGACUGAGAUACGGCCCAGACUCCUACGGGAGGCAGCAGUGGGGAAUAUUGCACAAUGGGCGGAAGCCUGAUGCAGCAACGCCGCGUGCGGGAUGACGGCCUUCGGGUUGUAAACCGCUUUCGCCUGUGACGAAGCGUGAGUGACGGUAAUGGGUAAAGAAGCACCGGCUAACUACGUG